This 696-nucleotide ribosomal RNA is filed under the name uncultured Bacillus sp. Its description in RNAcentral is "bacterial SSU rRNA". It matches the Rfam family "Bacterial small subunit ribosomal RNA", at positions 97 to 779 of the family's 1533-position model. Lineage: Bacteria; Bacillati; Bacillota; Bacilli; Caryophanales; Bacillaceae. The record is from RNAcentral.
GGCGGACGGGUGAGUAACACGUGGGCAACCUGCCUGUAAGACUGGGAUAACUUCGGGAAACCGGAGCUAAUACCGGAUAAUCCUUUUCCUCUCAUGAGGGAAAGCUGAAAGACGGUUUCGGCUGUCACUUACAGAUGGGCCCGCGGCGCAUUAGCUAGUUGGUGAGGUAACGGCUCACCAAGGCGACGAUGCGUAGCCGACCUGAGAGGGUGAUCGGCCACACUGGGACUGAGACACGGCCCAGACUCCUACGGGAGGCAGCAGUAGGGAAUCUUCCGCAAUGGACGAAAGUCUGACGGAGCAACGCCGCGUGAACGAUGAAGGCCUUCGGGUCGUAAAGUUCUGUUGUCAGGGAAGAACAAGUACCGGAGUAACUGCCGGUACCUUGACGGUACCUGACCAGAAAGCCACGGCUAACUACGUGCCAGCAGCCGCGGUAAUACGUAGGUGGCAAGCGUUGUCCGGAAUUAUUGGGCGUAAAGCGCGCGCAGGCGGUUCCUUAAGUCUGAUGUGAAAGCCCCCGGCUCAACCGGGGAGGGUCAUUGGAAACUGGGGAACUUGAGUGCAGAAGAGGAGAGCGGAAUUCCACGUGUAGCGGUGAAAUGCGUAGAGAUGUGGAGGAACACCAGUGGCGAAGGCGGCUCUCUGGUCUGUAACUGACGCUGAGGCGCGAAAGCGUGGGGAGCGAACAGGAUU